CGGCGCCCCGAGGCGGCGGGCCCGGCGGGCGAGCGGAGAGCGAAAGGCCGCCGCGCAGCGGGGGUGCAGGGAGAGGGCCCGGCCGCCUCUUCCCCGGGCCGGCAGCCGCCGCCAAGGGCGGGAGGCUGCGCCUCAGGCGCCGGGGCCGAGGGUGCCUCACGCGGAGGAGGCAGCGGCCGCCUCGCUCUGUUGGAGCCGAGCCGGGCCGCCCUGAGGCAGCCUUUUUCGGUGUGAAAUGUUGAGGAUGCUGCAUGCGUUCGUGUUUGAAUGACUUAAUGAAGCAGCUUGACCAUCUCAUGCAGUAAAGUACAAGAGGAUGUAGCGAGGUUAGAUUUGUAAUUUGAAUUCUGCUGAACUUGUAUAUCUAAUUUUUAUUUCUGCUGGUGAUCACUUUUAUCCACCGAGCUUUUUAAACAGAAAUCAUCACUUCUUAGGUUAACAUGUGUUAUGACACUAGGAUAACUUCUCAAGGUAUUGCUCAAAAUGGAAUGUUCUAAUUUAGCAGUAGGCAGAAACCCACACAGGUAUUGUGUGUUUUCUUUUUCUGGUACCUGUUGACUCCCUUCUUAGCUUUUAAACCUGGAUCAUAUUAUAAAAGUCCCAGCUCUCUAGUCACUUAAAAUAUUUAUUGGCUUGUUAAACUGAACUACAUCUGCUGCUGUGAAGCCAAGAUUUGUUUUAGAAAUCUGUCACAGGACUCUGGUGUUCUUUAGCAGAAGACAUUAUAAAGCUAAUUUUGCCAUAGUUUCUUAAGAAAAUAGGUAACAAAAAGGCAGUGGAAACAGUGCAGUCCUCAUUCAGAACAGGUAGUCUUAUUCCUUUAAAGCAUUAAAGUAUUUCUAAACACACUCAUUAACCAUAGAACUUGCAUUUUUUUUGUAUGAUCAGCUGUGAAAAAGGUUGGCUUGGACAUGUUAAAACUUAAUUAAGACUGUUUGUCAGUCCAUUAAGAGGAACUAGUAUGGCAAGAUAGCUUUGUGAUGUCUCAUAGUACAAGCCCAAAAGGACAUUCACUGGUACUUAGAAAGUAGGAGUUUUGAAAAAUAGUAGGUGGAAAUACUUUUUCAAACCAUGUAAUUAGAAUGAAACUAGCUGCUGGAGGAAGUCAUUCAGCAAGAUUCAAAGCAAGCAGAUAUUUGUACGAAUACCAAAAUGGCCUAGUGCAUUUAUAACAAAAGCCAAAAAAACAUCUAGAAAAGAGAUUAAAGCAUAUGACUCAGGGUUCAAACUAAUCUUUAUGGGAAUAAGAACUGUACUUUUCUGCAUUACAGAAUAUUAAAAUAUGUCUUCCACAGUGGUCUUGUGCUCUCCUCGGGUUACCUGGUUCUGAGCUGUGUCAGGGAGAGGGUAUUGGACCAGCAGGAUUGCGAGCUUUGCCACAUGUCAGGUGGGAGUAUGUAAAAUCAUACUGUUAAUUUGACGUUGCUGUGAAGGCAAAAGUUCAAAGGUCCACUGCUGUAACCUGUUCCCCACAUUAUAAUGUAUGCCAUGAAAAGAGCAUCAGUUCUACGUGUGUGUGAAAUGGAAAAACGCUGAAUAAUGCCUUGUCUGCCUGCAUACACAUGAAGCAUUAGAAGCUUUGAAUGUGUAUUCGGUUCAAAGAAGAGGCUAGUUUAUUGGCAGCAGUGGGUUUUUCCCCUGACAGUGGAUUUCAGGCACUCUGUCAGACUGAGAUACUCUAGGUGCAUGUUUUCUUCACUUUACAGAGAAACUGAUGGAAAAAAAAAUGUAGAGUUGCCAGAAUGUUGCACGUUCUUGAAAUGGUAUACUCUGAAUGUUCAUCUGAAAGGCCAUUCUUUUUAUUUUAUGAUUUCUUCUCAACUCUUUUGAAGUCUUGCUGAUCCAUUAGCUUUGUGUUUAUAUGCUCAUUUAAAAUGACAUGCUUUGGAGUGACUUCCCUGUUUGUUGUAGAGAUUAAGUAUUGGUGAGUCCACCAGUUUCCCUUGAUAAGCUGUUUCAAAUAUCUGCGGUUAGGGGCUGUAUUUCGUUUCAGGUUUGAGUUUAACUUCCAGCUAUUGCAUCUAGCGCUUCUCAGCAAGAUUCAAAUGUCACGCACUGCUGGAGUUCCUCUUCCAUGUGUUGGGACCCACGUGCAGGGAUCAGGUCAUCCCUCAGAAUUCUGUUUCAUAAGCUAAAAUCCUAAAUCUUGCCUUGUGGGCUUUGCUUUUUCAGGGGGAAAGGGUUUGAUUCCCUGGAUAACUGGGGCAGGAGGGCAUGUCUUCCUUUAGGUUCUCUCUACUACAGCAUCCCCCUUGCAGAUACUACUUGGUACUCUGAGCACAGCAGUUCAAUCUAGUUUAUUUUGCCUAAGUGAAAACAACUGUGACAUGACUGAGAGAUAGUUGUUGUAUAAACAAAACAACUCUUGUUUGGGUUUAUAUUUUUAAAAUUACCUAUAUCCAGUAUUUGUUGUUUCUUUUGCUUGUCUGAAGGGAAUAAAUUUUGUUUAAUAGGUAAAUAGAACCAUGCACUUCAUUUAAAUGAGAAGCAGCUACGCAGCUAUGCUUGCUCCUUCAUGCCUAGACGUCUGUGAUCCAAUCUGUCUGUCCAGGAACAGCUAUAGACUUGCUGUUCUCGCUGCUGACACUUCAGCUGACAGGAAUCAGAAUUCAUAUGGUACUGUAUCCCCCUCCAGAAACAAAGGCAAGCACAAAUUUCGAUGAACCUUUAUGUAUGUUUGAUCUAGCACAGUGCGUCAUUGAAGAUUGUCAUGAAACAAUCCUCUGGGGAUAGAAAUACACAUCCACAAGUGGUCAAGUCCAGUUUUAGGAAGUUAAACCAUGGAGUAUCCAUACUAGCAAUCCCAUUGUGGCUACAUGGGGAGAGUUUGAUACAGGUUGAGGAAUUAAGAGUAUUAUGGUUUCUAUAUUGGCAUGAAGUUCUUGCAUAAAUAUCGUUACUCUGUUUCUGGCUGGCUUGAAAAUUCCACUGCGUUCUCGUAAAAAGGUAUAUAUACCCCAAUUGUUUUUGGUUUUGUUUUUCUAUUUUACUUAAACCAGUGCUGUACUAGAGAAGUACAGUCUCCUUAGUCCUGGAGUCUGCUGGAAAGCUCUAGCUAGUGCAGAACACUGUGCUGUUUCUCCACAGUGAUAUAAAGCAGCCAAUCUCACAUUUUCUUGUUUAUUGCAGCAAGAUUUUUGAUCCUAGUAAAUAUUCUGGUCUUUCUCCUCAAAGAAGGGUCCCGGGUUACUUAAACUUUAACUUGAAGUUACAUACUUGGGUCCCAGGUUACUAAAGUCCCAUAUAUAUCCUGGAAUAAGGAUUGCAAUUGUCAGCUAGACUUAUGGCAUGCUGAACUUCUCCAUGGUAUGGAUAAAGUAGAAAGUUGUCAGAUACAGAAUUUCUUCAGAGGCUGGUGUUGAACAGUGAAAUGGAUUCUGCUGAGAACUCGGGACCUCAAAAACCUUGCUUCAAGUAAAGCAGCGUUUUUCGAUCCAGCUUUUCUCCAAUAUGCAAACACAAUAGUGGUAUUAAAUAUAUUUAUAUAGAAGAAAACCUUUUGUACGCUCCAUUACAUACAUUUCUUUGCCUUGGGAACAUGUGAGAACAUUGUGACAGCCGUUACUCAGUUUUGUUGACUCACUGUUUUGAGGAUGUGCAACCAAUGUUGAUAAUGCACACCAUUUUUUGAGCAAGCUUAAUAAUGGACUGCUUGUACUAACAAUUUUAUUGUAGCUACCUGGAAAACACAGUUUUAGAGUAAUAAAAUGGCAUGAGUUCUACUAAAAUUUGGGCUUUUCUUGUGGCAUAUGGAAAUUGAAGAAAUAGUUUUUUUAUGCUUUGUUGGGGUAUGUGCAAGUAUGUAAAUUCUUUAGUUGCUGUAAGAUACUCGGGAAGGAGUGAACUUGUAGAGUGGGCGAGUUCUCCGCGUACCACUGGUACCUACCACACAUGGUAUUUGUUCAGGCAAAUCCACGAGAGUUUGAAGUGAGCAGUAAAUCGUUAUGUGUGCAGAAAAGUGCUUAGUUAGUGGAUGUACUGUAAAGCGACAGAUGAAGACCUGGCUCCUCUUCCUCUCUUAGUAUUGGUUUGGCCUCUGGCAGGUCCUAUAUUGAAUUGGGGGUGUGGGGAGAUUUAAUGUAGCAUUUUAUAACUGAGUUUUCAAAAAUUGUUUAUGCAGAGGGUCUACUGCAUGUGUUAAUGUUAAACUGAAGCAGAAGUUCAUGAUGACAUGUGUAAAGUCUAGUCAACCUUGUGUAUUUUCUAGGCAAAUCAUGCUGUGAUUCACCGAAAACAUUUAAUGUUCUAUUGCAAAAUACUUGCUUACAAGAGAUCUUUUGUUCUGCAGGCUUUGGAUUUUUCACUGUUUAUGAUUUUGUCUAUAUGAAAAUGUAAAAUGAUGACAUUUAAUAAAAUAUAUACACCAUUA
Long non-coding RNA from Harpia harpyja (harpy eagle), 4369 nucleotides. RefSeq lists it as uncharacterized. Lineage: Eukaryota; Metazoa; Chordata; Aves; Accipitriformes; Accipitridae. The record is from RefSeq and is a predicted model, not a curated record. The transcript has 2 exons.